UCCAGACUCCUACGGGAGGCAGCAGUGGGGAAUAUUGCACAAUGGGGGAAACCCUGAUGCAGCGACGCCGCGUGAGUGAAGAAGUAUUUCGGUAUGUAAAGCUCUAUCAGCAGGGAAGAAAAUGACGGUACCUGACUAAGAAGCCCCGGCUAACUACGUGCCAGCAGCCGCGGUAAUACGUAGGGGGCAAGCGUUAUCCGGAUUUACUGGGUGUAAAGGGAGCGUAGACGGACUUGCAAGUCUGAUGUGAAAAUCCGGGGCCCAACCCCGGAACUGCAUUGGAAACUGUAUAUCUAGAGUGUCGGAGAGGCAAGUGGAAUUCCUGGUGUAGCGGUGAAAUGCGUAGAUAUCACGCAGAACCCCGAUUGCGAAGGCAGCCUUCCGGCGCCCUACUGACGCUGAGGCACGAAAGUGCGGGGAUCGAACAGGAUUAGAUACCCGCGUA
RNAcentral lists this ribosomal RNA (445 nucleotides) under uncultured bacterium. Its description in RNAcentral is "bacterial SSU rRNA". It matches the Rfam family "Bacterial small subunit ribosomal RNA", at positions 330 to 792 of the family's 1533-position model. The record is from RNAcentral.